AUGUAUAUAAAAUGAUCGUGGAACUUGUAUUCCAGCGUAUCUGUAGGCAGCUUCCGAUUCUUCCGAAAUGUCUUGUUUUCAUCACUUUGUGCAUUUGAACAAAGGCUGUAUUCGUGAAUGUUGAAUUGUGGGUUUAUUUAUGUGACAAGGUCCAGUAAUUUUGUAUGUGCAGCCUUCCUCUGCUUGCACGCUGCAUGAUUGCUUCAUUUUGCUGUCUCAAAUGAGAAGCUGACGAUGAUGGUGAUUUUCAGUCGAAGCAAACAAGGACAAGUCGGUGAACUUUUCAUGUAAAUCAAGACGUAACCUCGUGGAAAGCUGGGAGAUGCAACGAGUCGAGGUAUGUAAAAUUUCAAGAUUUUCUUGGCCUAGCUAGCUAGUGAUAAGGACAGUGUUUUAGUGUUCCCUAAAUAAUACAUUGCUGGCUAGUAAGUGCCUAUGCGAGGUUAUCAUUUGAAUUUGGCAAGGCAGCACUAUGUACGGAUGAUGAUGUACACUCACUUCUACUCUCACGUAUACUUGUCAUAUGCUCCUCUUACUUGUAUGCAUGCCAUUUCCUGGACUAAAAAUCGAUCGCAGCUUUGGUUCUUUUUUGCUUUCCUGUGCUAAUGAUGGAUGCAGUCUACUUGAGACGUCGGUAAUGCUGCCUGCUUUGGUUGGGCAUCGGGAGUUGGUGCCCCCCAGAUUUAGGGUCUUGUCGAGCGAAUGAACAGGACUAGGAGGAUGAUGGAAAGCAGAGGAACAAAGCUUGUCAAAUGAAGGCUGGCCCCCGUCUCAUGCCACUUGUUCUUGACAUCAGAAAGCACUACGGACAAGGUCGAUAUCAUGAUAAAUAGCAUGCUGUAUGUAUGGGAUCAUCAGCGAACGUUAUGGCUGAAUUUGUUUGCUGUUCCAAAUGAAACGGGCGAUGAAGAACACUGCACAGAUUGUACUUAUAUCAGUAUCCACACAAGGAUCGAUCCUCAGAUUCAGUUCCAUACAAGAACUGCUUAUCAAAAAGAUUCUUCGCACUAGCUGCGGGAAACACGGAUUGGAGGCCGCAUCAUUCUCUCCAUUCUCCAACAUGAGAAUUAAAGGAAGCAAAGAAAGGAGGAGGAACUAAAUGAAGCCCUGUCACUCAGUUUGAGCCAUCAUUCUCUUUCCGUAAGCAUCCAAUCAUAUGGGCCAUUAAAGCAGGCAAAGGAGAGAGAGAGAGAGAGAAGCUCAGUCAGGAUAUUCCAUGAAAAACGCAAAAGAAAGCACCUGCAAUCAUCACCAGCUUCAUCACUCAUCAGGCUGCUAAUGCUAAUGGCGGGGUAUAUUCCCCAUCCUGGCUCUCCCCUGUCGGGCGGGUUUCCUGUGAAUCUGUGAUUCAAUUUGCUGCUCACCAGGUGGUGCCAAACGCUUGUCUCCCUCCCUCUAAAAAAACACUUGUCUCACAGCUUCUAGAUACCGUGCAGAGUUGCGGACACGCACUUAGCUCGAUGUCAUAGACAGUAGUGCACUUGUAUAUUUGAUUCCCUUUGUUUUGUUGGUAACUAAUGAUUCAGAUGAAGCGCACGUAA
Molecule: RNA transcript, 1541 nt
Organism: Zea mays
Lineage: Eukaryota; Viridiplantae; Streptophyta; Magnoliopsida; Poales; Poaceae
Exons: 2
Source: RefSeq, a predicted model, not a curated record